This is a long non-coding RNA of Chelonia mydas (Green sea turtle), 1382 nucleotides long. RefSeq lists it as uncharacterized. Lineage: Eukaryota; Metazoa; Chordata; Testudines; Cheloniidae. The record is from RefSeq and is a predicted model, not a curated record. The transcript has 3 exons.
AGAAGGAAAGGAGUUGAAGCAGAGAGCAGUUUGGAGGGAAGCAGAGGAGAGUUUGGAGAAGUGCUGUGGUGGGCUAAGAAGACCAAGACCCUAGAAUACAAAAGUACAUGGAAAUCAGCAACACUCACACAUUAAUGCUUCAUCAGAACCCCUUUUUGAACAGCUGGUGUACAGAACUGUUGGUGAGAGAGCAGGAGAGGGGCAGACAUCUGCUGUGCUGCAUGAGUGGAGACAUCUUGUUCUUACCAAUAUUAGUUUUCUUCAUGCUCUCACUCAUUCCUGGAGAAGAGCCCUGCUGGUCCUUUACCAUGCAUGGAUGAUCAGCGCUGCCAGGGGGCUGAAAACAACAUUUUUAUAGAUUGGAAGCAUUGACGGGAAAGAGAGUCUAACACAAUGAGUAAAUUCAAGAGUAAAUACAUCGCUGCACCUGUCUCCUUCUCCACUUGAUCAUAAAUCCUGGACCACACUCAACAGACUACUCUCUGGCUUGUCCUGAGUUGUCGCAGCUAUGUACCAGCUUGGCCUGGUUUCCUCUCCACACUGUGACUAAAAGGCAGCACUGCAGACAAUAACUCAUGGUGGAAGAGUACUCAGUUUGACAGCUGGAAGGCAGUUUACAGUGCUUAGACUUCCUUGAGACAGAGGCUAUCCCCUGGUUAUGGAACCUGGAUAAUGAGCUCUGACACCAGCAGACAAGAGAAGGAGGAAGACCAUUUAAAACUGCCUGGAGCAAGCAGCCAGACAGCAUAGAGGAACUGUUGGUGAAACAAGAACUUGCUCUCUGUUGUGUGUUAGGACAUGAUGGAGGAAACCAGAGGUCCUCACCACAUGUUAACGUACUUGAUUUUCUGCUGAUGGAGUAGUCCCUAGUGUACUGCUCUAGCUGGCACAACAUGGAGCAGCUCUUUGGUUGCUCUAAAUUAUGCCGGGGUCAUUUCAGAUUCAUCUGUGGUAAGGAUCACAGGAAGCAUAAAGGUGGCUUUGGGCUAGUCUACAUGGGGAAGUUAUUGCAGAAUAAACUGUGUGUGAAUUUAAAGUGCAAUAGCUAAUCCAUGCGAACUCCCAAUAUGGGCACUUUUAUUCUGUACUGAGUUCCUUUUUAUGGUUUAACUUAAUCUCAUUCUGGUUUAUUUCCCUGUGAAGACAAACCCAUAGAGUCACCUCUGUCUUCUCUUAGCCUGAGCUAUACUGAGAAUGAUUUGGUGCAAUUUAGGAUUGAACCUGUAGUAUUCCCCAUUCUCUCUCUCUCUCUCUCUCUCUCUCCCUUUCACCCCCUUUGCACCUAUCCAGCAAUUUGAGCUAACGCUCCCAGUGCACCAGGUGCGACAGAAUUGAGUCACAUGAACAAUGUAAACAGUCUGUGUGAGAGAUGCUAUAUCAAA